Molecule: long non-coding RNA, 714 nt
Organism: Oncorhynchus tshawytscha (Chinook salmon)
Lineage: Eukaryota; Metazoa; Chordata; Actinopteri; Salmoniformes; Salmonidae
Source: Ensembl
GAAAAAGGGAUCGGUGGCGGCUGGUGACGAUGACCGCCGAGCACCACCCGAACAGGCGGAGGAGCCAACUUCGGCGGGAGUCGUAACAGCCUUUGUCAAGUACUUGUUACACUGUAAAGAUUAAACAUCUAAUCAACUUCAUUUUUGGGCUUACAGAGUUGGUUUGGUUCCAGAAGACAGGGAAGAAAUCAACUCUGGCUGUCGGAGCAACCAGUCCAACACCUGCUGUGUUCAAUGUCACUAAGGGUCUAUCUGACAAGCAGUGGCAGUCCAUACAAGGGGAGAUGCCAGGCAAUAUGACAAGAGAGGACUUUAAUGAGACCUGCAACACCAUCCUAUCAUGGGUGAAAGAGGCCGUUGGGACUGCUGUGAAGCCUGCCCUGGACCUGACCUGGGAAAUCAUCACCACUAACGGAUCUUCAAUAUUGUCCACCCCCUCCAGCUGUUCACGAACAGAGGAAUGCUCAGUUGUGAUCUGUCCCUUUCCAUCAAGUAGCAGAUCCAAGAGUGCUUUGUUGGAUGAGGUUGACGAUGAACACGGUGAGUUGCCCUGUGGAUCAAACAGGUCCAGGCCAAGUAGGAAUGGAAGUAGACUGUUGGUGGAACCAGUAGUAGUUCUGUUAGGUGGGUCGCAAGAAGACGUCUAUCAGUGCAUUCAGUCUGAGAUUGAUGAGUCAGUAAGCAACAUAAUUCUCUCGUCAGAGCUUAGAGAUG